Rhododendron vialii is the source of this 579-nucleotide long non-coding RNA. RefSeq lists it as uncharacterized. The record is from RefSeq and is a predicted model, not a curated record. The transcript has 2 exons. NCBI's taxonomy places the organism in Eukaryota, Viridiplantae, Streptophyta, Magnoliopsida, Ericales, Ericaceae.
UAAUUGUGUAAGGGGUGCACGUGUGAGUGUGUGGUGUGAGAAGCGGGGGAUUGCUCCCCACUUCUAUAAUUCUCCCAGGAGAAUCAUUUCUCCCUUUUUUUUUUCUCUCUCACUCUCUCGGCAGUCUCUCUCUCCUCCUCUCCUCCGAAAAACUCCCUCCUCUCUUCUCUCUUCGAUUUCAUCUACCUAGGGGGUGAUUCCGGACAAGGCCUGAGAAUUAAAGUUGCUAUAUGAAGCAUUGGCUUUCCGAAUAUCCAAGAAAAAUCACGAUCGGACCACGUGCGAGCUCGGUUGACUUAGUCAAAGGUUCGGGUUUUGCUCAAAACCCAUGAGGUACACUACAUGGACACAGUCUUGGAGGUUGUGAAGUGCAUGCAGACAUCACAGGCUAAAGUUAUUUUUUGAAGAACUUGUCUUUCCUUUGUAAAUCAAACUGUAUUGUACUAUUUUCUCUAAUUUGGAAUACUGUAUCAGUUGACAAAAUUGUGAGAUUUAGAAACUGUAUGUUGUAAUUUGGGGUACCGUAUGUACUAUUGUGAGGAUUUGUAUUUAAAAUGGUAUUGUUAUUUAUGUUAAAAA